Molecule: ribosomal RNA, 253 nt
Filed under: uncultured bacterium
Lineage: Bacteria
Description: partial 16S ribosomal RNA
Rfam family: Bacterial small subunit ribosomal RNA
Source: RNAcentral
UACAGAGGGUGCUAGCGUUGUUCGGAAUCAUUGGGCGUAAAGGGCGCGUAGGCGGCCUGUCGCGUCGGUUGUGAAAGCCCGGGGCUCAACCCCGGGUCUGCAGUCGAUACGGGCAGGCUAGAGUUCGGUAGGGGAGAUCGGAAUUCCUGGUGUAGCGGUGAAAUGCGCAGAUAUCAGGAGGAACACCGGUGGCGAAGGCGGAUCUCUGGGCCGACACUGACGCUGAGGAGCGAAAGCGUGGGGAGCGAACAGG